This 450-nucleotide ribosomal RNA is filed under the name uncultured organism. Its description in RNAcentral is "partial 16S ribosomal RNA". It matches the Rfam family "Bacterial small subunit ribosomal RNA", at positions 335 to 800 of the family's 1533-position model. The record is from RNAcentral.
ACUCCUGCGGGAGGCAGCAGUGGGGAAUAUUGGACAAUGGGCGCAAGCCUGAUCCAGCCAUGCCGCGUGAGUGAUGAAGGCCCUAGGGUUGUAAAGCUCUUUCACCGGUGAAGAUAAUGACGGUAACCGGAGAAGAAGCCCCCGGCUAACUUCGUGCCAGCAGCCGCGGUAAUACGAAGGGGGCUAGCGUUGUUCGGAUUUACUGGGCGUAAAGCGCACGUAGGCGGACUAUUAAGUCAGGGGUGAAAUCCCGGGGCUCAACCCCGGAACUGCCUUUGAUACUGGUAGUCUUGAGUUCGAGAGAGGUGAGUGGAAUUCCGAGUGUAGAGGUGAAAUUCGUAGAUAUUCGGAGGAACACCAGUGGCGAAGGCGGCUCACUGGCUCGAUACUGACGCUGAGGUGCGAAAGCGUGGGGAGCAAACAGGAUUAGAUACCCCGGUAGUCCCAUGA